CCUACGGGAGGCAGCAGUCGAGAAUCAUUCACAAUGGGGGAAACCCUGAUCGUGCGACGCCGCGUGGGGGAAUGAAGGUCUUCGGUUUGUAAACCCCUGUCAUGUGGGAGCAAAUUAAGAAGAUAGUACCACAAGAGGAAGAGACGGCUAACUAUGUGCCAGCAGCCGCGGUAAUACAGAGGUGUCAAUCGUUGUUCGGAAUCACUGGGCGUAAAGGGUGCGUAGGCUGUUUCGUAAGUCGUGUGUGAAAGGCGCGGGCUCAACCCGCGGACGGCACAUGAUACUGUGGGACUAGAGUAAUGGAGAGGGAGACGGAAUUCUCGGUGUAGCAGUGAAAUGCGUAGAUAUCGAGAGGAACACUAGUGGCGAAGGCGGGUUCCUGGACAUUAACUGACGCUGAGGCACGAAGGCCAGGGGAGCGAAAGGGAUUAGAUACCCCUGUAGUC
Molecule: ribosomal RNA, 446 nt
Filed under: uncultured bacterium
Lineage: Bacteria
Description: partial 16S ribosomal RNA
Rfam family: Bacterial small subunit ribosomal RNA
Source: RNAcentral